RNAcentral lists this ribosomal RNA (536 nucleotides) under Astragalus membranaceus. RNAcentral describes it as "eukaryotic LSU rRNA". The stretch from base 176 to 329 matches the Rfam family "5.8S ribosomal RNA". Lineage: Eukaryota; Viridiplantae; Streptophyta; Magnoliopsida; Fabales; Fabaceae. The record is from RNAcentral.
UUUCCGUAGGUGAACCUGCGGAAGGAUCAUUACCGAGUGCGGGCCCUCUGGGUCCAACCUCCCAUCCGUGUCUAUCUGUACCCUGUUGCUUCGGCGUGGCCACGGCCCGCCGAAGACUAACAUUUGAACACUGUCUGAAGUUUGCAGUCUGAGUUUUUAGUUAAACAAUAAUUAAAACUUUCAACAACGGAUCUCUUGGUUCCGGCAUCGAUGAAGAACGCAGCGAAAUGCGAUAAUUAAUGUGAAUUGCAGAAUUCAGUGAAUCAUCGAGUCUUUGAACGCACAUUGCGCCCCCUGGUAUUCCGGGGGGCAUGCCUGUCCGAGCGUCAUUGCUGCCCUCAAGCACGGCUUGUGUGUUGGGCUUCCGUCCCUGGUAACGGGGACGGGCCCAAAAGGCAGUGGCGGCACCAUGUCUGGUCCUCGAGCGUAUGGGGCUUUGUCACCCGCUCCCGUAGGUCCAGCUGGCAGCUAGCCUCGCAACCAAUCUUUUUAACCAGGUUGACCUCGGAUCAGGUAGGGAUACCCGCUGAACUUAA